Molecule: ribosomal RNA, 450 nt
Filed under: uncultured bacterium
Lineage: Bacteria
Description: partial 16S ribosomal RNA
Rfam family: Bacterial small subunit ribosomal RNA
Source: RNAcentral
GUGGGGAAUCUUCCGCAAUGGACGAAAGUCUGACGGAGCGACGCCGCGUGAGUGAAGAAGGCCUUCGGGUCGUAAAGCUCUGUCAUCAGGGACGAACGGCCGGUGGAGUGGAAAGCCACCGGAUUGACGGUACCUGAGAAGGAAGCCACGGCUAACUACGUGCCAGCAGCCGCGGUAAUACGUAGGUGGCAAGCGUUGUCCGGAAUUAUUGGGCGUAAAGCGCGCGCAGGUGGGAUCUUAAGUCCAUUUUUAUAGUUCGGAGCUCAACUCCGUGAUGGGAUGGAAACUGGGAGUCUUGAGUACCGGAGAGGAAAGCGGAAUUCCCCGUGUAGCGGUGAAAUGCGUAGAUAUGGGGAGGAACACCAGUGGCGAAGGCGGCUUUCUGGACGGUGUCUGACACUGAGGCGCGAAAGCCAGGGGAGCGAACGGGAUUAGAAACCCUGGUAGUCC